GUGGUGGUGGUGGUGGUGGUGGUGGUC
This 27-nucleotide non-coding RNA is filed under the name Mus musculus (house mouse). The record is from RNAcentral. Lineage: Eukaryota; Metazoa; Chordata; Mammalia; Rodentia; Muridae. RNAcentral also lists the same sequence under 1 other name.